Molecule: unclassified non-coding RNA, 229 nt
Filed under: plant metagenome
Description: partial contains small subunit ribosomal RNA, internal transcribed spacer 1, and 5.8S ribosomal RNA
Source: RNAcentral
UCUCCGUAGGUGAACCUGCGGAGGGAUCAUUACAGAGUUCAUGCCCUACCGGGUAGAUCUCCCACCCUAUGAUAUUAUUACUUUGUUGCUUUGGCGGGCCGUUAGGCUCCGGCCCGACCACCGGCCCCGGCUGGUAAGCGCCCGCCAGAGGACCCAAAACCCUGAAUAUUAGUGUCGUCCGAGUACUAUAUAAUAGUUAAAACUUUCAACAACGGAUCUCUUGGUUCUG